This 494-nucleotide ribosomal RNA is filed under the name uncultured soil bacterium. RNAcentral's name for it is "bacterial SSU rRNA". It matches the Rfam family "Bacterial small subunit ribosomal RNA", at positions 26 to 507 of the family's 1533-position model. The record is from RNAcentral.
AGAUUGAACGCUGGCGGCAGGCCUAACACAUGCAAGUCGAGCGGCAGCACGGGUACUUGUACCUGGUGGCGAGCGGCGGACGGGUGAGUAAUGCCUAGGAAUCUGCCUGGUAGUGGGGGAUAACGCUCGGAAACGGACGCUAAUACCGCAUACGUCCUACGGGAGAAAGCAGGGGACCUUCGGGCCUUGCGCUAUCAGAUGAGCCUAGGUCGGAUUAGCUAGUUGGUGAGGUAAUGGCUCACCAAGGCGACGAUCCGUAACUGGUCUGAGAGGAUGAUCAGUCACACUGGAACUGAGACACGGUCCAGACUCCUACGGGAGCAGCAGUGGGGAAUAUUGGACAAUGGGCGAAAGCCUGAUCCAGCCAUGCCGCGUGUGUAGAAGAAGGUCUUCGGAUUGUAAAGCACUUUAAGUUGGAGGAAAGGCAAGUAAAAUUAAUACUUUAGCUGUUUUUGACGUUACCGACAAGAAUAAGCAACCGGCUAAACUCUGUG